GAUGUCUGAAUCCAUAGGUUCAGUUAACUGAUUUUUUGAUCGGUUUUCGGUUUGAUGGUUUUUUGCUCACCCCUAGUAGCCAGUUCUCACGUAAUUGAUAUUUAUGACUGUUUAAGAUAUAUCUUGUAACAUAUCGUCUAUAUCAGAGAAAUCAGUGACAUAAAACCUCUCGGAUUAACGAGUAACUACUAUUUUGCAAGCAAUUGUAGAUGGAAAAUCAAUUUGGAAUGUGAU
RNAcentral lists this unclassified non-coding RNA (234 nucleotides) under Hevea brasiliensis (rubber tree). The record is from RNAcentral. Lineage: Eukaryota; Viridiplantae; Streptophyta; Magnoliopsida; Malpighiales; Euphorbiaceae.